GGGGUUGUGGCUCAGAGGUAGAGCGAAUGCCUAGUAUGUGUGAGGCCCUGGGUUUGAUCCUCAGCACCACA
Molecule: transfer RNA, 71 nt
Filed under: Marmota monax (woodchuck)
Lineage: Eukaryota; Metazoa; Chordata; Mammalia; Rodentia; Sciuridae
Description: tRNA.Thr
Source: RNAcentral